RNAcentral lists this unclassified non-coding RNA (256 nucleotides) under Triadelphia sp. RNAcentral describes it as "partial contains 5.8S ribosomal RNA, internal transcribed spacer 2, and large subunit ribosomal RNA". The stretch from base 1 to 52 matches the Rfam family "5.8S ribosomal RNA", at positions 103 to 154 of the family's 154-position model. The record is from RNAcentral. Lineage: Eukaryota; Fungi; Ascomycota; Sordariomycetes.
AACGCACAUUGCGCCCUUUGGUAUUCCGAAGGGCAUGCCUGUUCGAGCGUCAUUCUCAACCAUCAAGCCUGGCUUGUCGUUGGACCCUUUUGUCGUCGAGAGUCGACAGGUCCGAAAGAUAAUGACGGUGUCGUGCUUGACCCUAGAUGCAACGAGCUUUUCAUAGCACGCAUUCGAAGUGGUCGGCCGGCCCGGUCUCAAACCCCCAUCUUCAAAGGUUGACCUCGGAUCAGGUAGGAAUACCCGCUGAACUUAA